Molecule: long non-coding RNA, 591 nt
Filed under: Calidris pugnax (ruff)
Lineage: Eukaryota; Metazoa; Chordata; Aves; Charadriiformes; Scolopacidae
Description: lncRNA (ENSCPUG00000005162.1)
Source: RNAcentral
GGUUGAUGGACAGUCACUCUAUUCUUUGCCUUUUUUUUUGUUUUGUUUUGUUUUUUUCUAACGUUUAAGGAAAACGUCCUUGCCGAAAACAGAGUUUAUUCUGUUGGGUGUGUAUAAAGGCAGAUCUGUCAGCUUGGUUUUGAUAAAAGGGAAGGCACGUCCUGCUUUAUAAGGGGAGAGAGAGAAGAGCCUAAAAAAAGACAAAGCUGAAAGCAUUGCUGAAAUAACGUGCCCAUGUGAGAGAGCCCUUGGAGGGAGCUGAGGACAAGAGAGUUGGCUGAGGGCAACCCGCUGGGGAGCUGGAAAGUUGAGACGUGCUUGGACAGGCUGUGUCCACCCAGUUUGGGGAGCCGCCUUGCUGUGGGGACAGAGAAGAUAAAGAAUCAACACGAAAAUAAAUGAUGGGAAAACUUUGAUGGCAGGAAGAAUGCCUCUUCCAUCAACAACCAGCUAUUAAGGUUGGCUUAGCUGCAAUGUGAGACCUCACCCUUCAUGGAAACUUGACUCCUACUGGGAAAAAGUGCUUUUGUCGAUACAACUUGGACCGAUUUUUGGGUGCGAUCUAAUGAUUACCAGUUAGACAUGACACUG